GGGUUGUGAGGUUAAGCGACUAAGCGUACACGGUGGAUGCCCUGGCAGUCAGAGGCGAUGAAGGACGUGCUAAUCUGCGAUAAGCGUCGGUAAGGUGAUAUGAACCGUUAUAACCGGCGAUUUCCGAAUGGGGAAACCCAGUGUGUUUCGACACACUAUCAUUAACUGAAUCCAUAGGUUAAUGAGGCGAACCGGGGGAACUGAAACAUCUAAGUACCCCGAGGAAAAGAAAUCAACCGAGAUUCCCCCAGUAGCGGCGAGCGAACGGGGAGGAGCCCAGAGCCUGAAUCAGUGUGUGUGUUAGUGGAAGCGUCUGGAAAGGCGCGCGAUACAGGGUGACAGCCCCGUACACAAAAAUGCACAUAUUGUGAGCUCGAUGAGUAGGGCGGGACACGUGGUAUCCUGUCUGAAUAUGGGGGGACCAUCCUCCAAGGCUAAAUACUCCUGACUGACCGAUAGUGAACCAGUACCGUGAGGGAAAGGCGAAAAGAACCCCGGCGAGGGGAGUGAAAAAGAACCUGAAACCGUGUACGUACAAGCAGUGGGAGCACGCUUCGGCGUGUGACUGCGUACCUUUUGUAUAAUGGGUCAGCGACUUAUAUUCUGUAGCAAGGUUAACCGAAUAGGGGAGCCGAAGGGAAACCGAGUCUUAACUGGGCGUUAAGUUGCAGGGUAUAGACCCGAAACCCGGUGAUCUAGCCAUGGGCAGGUUGAAGGUUGGGUAACACUAACUGGAGGACCGAACCGACUAAUGUUGAAAAAUUAGCGGAUGACUUGUGGCUGGGGGUGAAAGGCCAAUCAAACCGGGAGAUAGCUGGUUCUCCCCGAAAGCUAUUUAGGUAGCGCCUCGUGAAUUCAUCUCCGGGGGUAGAGCACUGUUUCGGCAAGGGGGUCAUCCCGACUUACCAACCCGAUGCAAACUGCGAAUACCGGAGAAUGUUAUCACGGGAGACACACGGCGGGUGCUAACGUCCGUCGUGAAGAGGGAAACAACCCAGACCGCCAGCUAAGGUCCCAAAGUCAUGGUUAAGUGGGAAACGAUGUGGGAAGGCCCAGACAGCCAGGAUGUUGGCUUAGAAGCAGCCAUCAUUUAAAGAAAGCGUAAUAGCUCACUGGUCGAGUCGGCCUGCGCGGAAGAUGUAACGGGGCUAAACCAUGCACCGAAGCUGCGGCAGCGACACUAUGUGUUGUUGGGUAGGGGAGCGUUCUGUAAGCCUGUGAAGGUGUACUGUGAGGUAUGCUGGAGGUAUCAGAAGUGCGAAUGCUGACAUAAGUAACGAUAAAGCGGGUGAAAAGCCCGCUCGCCGGAAGACCAAGGGUUCCUGUCCAACGUUAAUCGGGGCAGGGUGAGUCGACCCCUAAGGCGAGGCCGAAAGGCGUAGUCGAUGGGAAACAGGUUAAUAUUCCUGUACUUGGUGUUACUGCGAAGGGGGGACGGAGAAGGCUAUGUUGGCCGGGCGACGGUUGUCCCGGUUUAAGCGUGUAGGCUGGUUUUCCAGGCAAAUCCGGAAAAUCAAGGCUGAGGCGUGAUGACGAGGCACUACGGUGCUGAAGCAACAAAUGCCCUGCUUCCAGGAAAAGCCUCUAAGCAUCAGGUAACAUCAAAUCGUACCCCAAACCGACACAGGUGGUCAGGUAGAGAAUACCAAGGCGCUUGAGAGAACUCGGGUGAAGGAACUAGGCAAAAUGGUGCCGUAACUUCGGGAGAAGGCACGCUGAUAUGUAGGUGAAGUCCCUCGCGGAUGGAGCUGAAAUCAGUCGAAGAUACCAGCUGGCUGCAACUGUUUAUUAAAAACACAGCACUGUGCAAACACGAAAGUGGACGUAUACGGUGUGACGCCUGCCCGGUGCCGGAAGGUUAAUUGAUGGGGUCAGCGCAAGCGAAGCUCUUGAUCGAAGCCCCGGUAAACGGCGGCCGUAACUAUAACGGUCCUAAGGUAGCGAAAUUCCUUGUCGGGUAAGUUCCGACCUGCACGAAUGGCGUAAUGAUGGCCAGGCUGUCUCCACCCGAGACUCAGUGAAAUUGAACUCGCUGUGAAGAUGCAGUGUACCCGCGGCAAGACGGAAAGACCCCGUGAACCUUUACUAUAGCUUGACACUGAACAUUGAGCCUUGAUGUGUAGGAUAGGUGGGAGGCUUUGAAGUGUGGACGCCAGUCUGCAUGGAGCCGACCUUGAAAUACCACCCUUUAAUGUUUGAUGUUCUAACGUGGACCCGUAAUCCGGGUUGCGGACAGUGUCUGGUGGGUAGUUUGACUGGGGCGGUCUCCUCCUAAAGAGUAACGGAGGAGCACGAAGGUUGGCUAAUCCUGGUCGGACAUCAGGAGGUUAGUGCAAUGGCAUAAGCCAGCUUGACUGCGAGCGUGACGGCGCGAGCAGGUGCGAAAGCAGGUCAUAGUGAUCCGGUGGUUCUGAAUGGAAGGGCCAUCGCUCAACGGAUAAAAGGUACUCCGGGGAUAACAGGCUGAUACCGCCCAAGAGUUCAUAUCGACGGCGGUGUUUGGCACCUCGAUGUCGGCUCAUCACAUCCUGGGGCUGAAGUAGGUCCCAAGGGUAUGGCUGUUCGCCAUUUAAAGUGGUACGCGAGCUGGGUUUAGAACGUCGUGAGACAGUUCGGUCCCUAUCUGCCGUGGGCGCUGGAGAACUGAGGGGGGCUGCUCCUAGUACGAGAGGACCGGAGUGGACGCAUCACUGGUGUUCGGGUUGUCAUGCCAAUGGCACUGCCCGGUAGCUAAAUGCGGAAGAGAUAAGUGCUGAAAGCAUCUAAGCACGAAACUUGCCCCGAGAUGAGUUCUCCCUGACUCCUUGAGAGUCCUGAAGGAACGUUGAAGACGACGACGUUGAUAGGCCGGGUGUGUAAGCGCAGCGAUGCGUUGAGCUAACCGGUACUAAUGAACCGUGAGGCUUAACCUUACAACGCCGAAG
This 2924-nucleotide ribosomal RNA is filed under the name Escherichia coli. Its description in RNAcentral is "23S ribosomal RNA". It matches the Rfam family "Bacterial large subunit ribosomal RNA". Lineage: Bacteria; Pseudomonadati; Pseudomonadota; Gammaproteobacteria; Enterobacterales; Enterobacteriaceae. The record is from RNAcentral.